RNAcentral lists this long non-coding RNA (1370 nucleotides) under Anas platyrhynchos platyrhynchos (common mallard). Its description in RNAcentral is "lncRNA (ENSAPLG00000018887.1)". The record is from RNAcentral. Lineage: Eukaryota; Metazoa; Chordata; Aves; Anseriformes; Anatidae.
AAGUAUUAUAGCCUUCUGUUGCCCUGUGCGUAUCACACACUGAAAAUAAAAGUGCUUUGGCUUUAUGAAGAGGUAAAGGUAUGAUGUUCAGUAUGAACAUGUGAUUGAAAUAUAAAGGAACCCCUUCAAACAAUCAAAUCCAAGCCCUGUCAUCAAGAAAAGAAUUCUGAUACUAAAAUAAAUAGGGUCAGGAAAACUCUUGAAUGUCUUCACUCCCCCUAAAUGCAAACACCUGUCAUUCAGCAUCAGUGCCCAGCUGGUAUUAGGUAUUAAAAAAAACAGUGUAUUUAUUGUAUACACCUGUAUUUUUUAGAAGAAAUCCAGAAAAAACUACCCCAAACUUGGUCAGAGCAGAGCCAAUCAAGUAGUUUGCUCCUUAUGAAUCUCUAAUGAGCUUUUGGGUGCUGGGCUGCUGCGAGUCUGAAUGGGCCUCUCAGUGCAGUGUGCUCAAGUCAAACUGCUACAGACACCAAGAUGGUCUCCAGCACAGGGAUGCCCAAACUGUGCUCAGCAGACCUAAGGCUAUGUGAGGAUGGUUGGCCUGAUGAACUAAUGUUCAUUUCCAUUUUUGAGGAAUGCGGCUGAUGAAAGUAAGAUAAAACUAAGAGCAAAAGAAAAGCUUAAGGAAGUCAAAAAAGCAUGCAUAUUUUUAUAACAAUUCUUCCGUGCAUUAGUGGCUGUACCAGCAACAGAGGUAUAAUGUGAUCUGCGUUGAAAAGGAACAGGACUUGACAUUGAGUGAGAAAAGAAGUCACAGUAUGAUCUCUGUGUGGUGGUGUUAUCAAAAGUACUGAACAAACAACAUGGUGAGCAGUGGGACUCGAGGUGGGACACCUUUCCUGCACAGGCUUUCUACUGCCUGGCACCCAUACUGCUCUCUCCGUAUGGACCUUUCCUCAGCUGAUUUGGACAUCUCUUGUAGUCAUUAAGUUGGAGAACAUAAAUAUUGUUGGUGUCUCAAUCUCUUGUUAUAUUCAGCUGAAGUUGAUCUAUGGUUACAAAUGUUAGAGCGAGAUGAGGUGAGCCAGCUUUCUUCAAGAAGCCAAGAUAAAAGGGGUAAGACUGUCAGCCAAAAAAAUAGGGAAAGUUAAACUUCACAUAUCUCUCUGAUGAAAAACAAGCACAAUAUAUCUUUCAGAAAGAAAAACAAAACAAUGGUGCUCUGUGUUGUUAAGCAUUUUACAGAUACUUGUAAGAGUUCUGGUCAAAGUUAUUCUAGAAUAUCACAUAUUCUCUUGCAGUAAUGUUGAUGCCAGUUCCAAUGAGUGUAUCCCAAAUGUGACAAUCUUGAAUCUUGGCCUUUUUUGUACAACCACAGUUCUGUCAGAGUAUCAGAGUGCUUUCUUUGUUUAAAAAAAAAAAAAAAAAAA